UUUAUUUUUAUUGAUUUAAAAAAUAAAAAAAUAAACAACAAUUUUUGGCUUUUUGAUUGGGUUCAAAGCCUAAUUAGGAAUUUAAGAAAAAAAUUUAGGCUCUAUUAAAAUAAUUCAAAAAUAAGUUUCAAAAUAAAAUACCGAAUCCUAAAAUUAAAUUCAGGGCCUGAUAACAAUUAAAAAACCUGAAACUAAAUUCUCGAGGCCCAAUUUAUUAUUUUAUGGCCUAUAGCAAACAUUGGACUUCGAGCCCCACAUUUAAUUACAAUUUAAAUGAAAGUUCGAUUUAAUCUUAAAUCCAAAUCAAAUUAAUUUGAGUUUUCAAAAGUACUUUAAGAAACAUUCGAUAAAAUGUAAUUUUUACAGUCUGUUUGAUUGAAUGAUACACACAUGUAUCUUCUACUUAAUUUUACAAUUUUCUUUCCAUAAUUAAAAAAAUAGUGACCUGAUUUUAUAGCGUUGACAUCACUAUUAUUCUAUAACAAUAACGUAAUUAUCUACUAGAUAUCUACAAGGCUGGAUGCUGUAUGCUGUCACAAUCUAUCCAGUCAGCAAAAAGAUAAAAUUGUGGGUAACUAGCACGGGUUGUUAUUGCCCUGCCAUGACCCCAAAAAAAAAAAAUAGUUAGGUUCUUGCCUGACCUUCUAGAUUGCUGUCUUUUCUUUUAUUUUGGCUGAUGUUUUGAUUAUAUUAUUAUCUGGGCCAUAUCUUUUCUAACCAAUCCCACGAAAGGGAAAUAACAUGGGCGGAUAAAGGUUAGAAAAGCAAAAGAGCAAAGAAAGAAAGAGAAAAGUGAGGCAACGAAUGAAAUGACGAUGAUAUUGAGAAGACGAAGAAGAAGAGACAAAGGUUGUUGCAAUUUCUGACGCCAGCCAUCCUACCAACCCUUUCUUCCUUCUGCCUGUAUGAUUCGUGUUUAUCCAUUUUCUUUAGUUCUCUUAUCAUAAUGUUGUUUUAAAUCUGCUGAGGCUAAAGAAACUGGGAUUUGAUUGCUUGGAAUAACCCAUUUUUUAUUUUAUUUUAUUUUAUUUUAUAGGUUAAAUACUAAUUUAACUCUUGUAUUAUAUUAUUUUUGUUAAUUUUUUAUUUAGAUAAUUAAAAUUUACAAUUAAAUAUUUCAGUUCACUUUUUUAGAAACAAUUUUUUUCAAGUGGUAAUAUAAGGUGUUUUACUUAUCCAAUGACAAAACCCCAAUUGUCACUUAGUUAUUGUCGCAUCAAUAGGAAUUCAUCGCCAUGUUUCUCACAAAUAAAAAUUAAAAAAUAAAAUAAAAUUCUUCUCAAAAUUUUGAAGAAAAACGAAAAAGGGAAAAAUGGAAAUUUAUAUAGAUAUUAAAAAAAAAUUAUAAAUAAAAAAUCAAAAUAAAAAAAUUUUGAAAAUUAAAAAAAUUAAAAAUACAAAAACAUGAAUUUUUUAAAAAAUUGGACAAAUUUUUAAAGAAAUUCAAAAUAUUAAAAACUUUUUUAAAAAAAUUUAAAUCUAACAAUUCUUUAUUAACAAUACAAAAAAUAUUAAUUUUUGAAAACAUGUAAGAUAGACCAACGAAGCGUAUGUUAUGGCUUAUAACUAAUCGAAUUAACUAUAGAUAAUUUAUUAUACAAUGCAAAUACAUUAUUUUUCUAUGAGAAGACUUUCUAUUUUCUUCAAAUUAUUUUAUAUUUAUUUUUAUUUAGUUAUUAGAUAAAAUUCAUGAAAUAGAUAUACUUUGCAAAAGGAAUUGCAAAAUGAAAGGAAUUACAAAAUGCUAGAAUUAUGGAAUCUUUCUAACAGAAAAGUAUUAAUCUUAAAAAUAUUUCUUGCCAAUGCUUUAUAAAGAAAUGGAUAUUGAUAGAAAUUAUUGAGAUCAAUACAUGUUUAUGCUCGUACAUGUGAAGUAAGCAAUUGAUCUCAUAAGUUAACAAUGCAUAUACUUGAGCUAAACAUUUAGGUGUUUAUUACAAAAAGUAAAUAUAUUAAACAUAACUGAUACAAGAAUACUAUUUGAUAAUCACUUUUAUAAUAAUAUUUUAAUGUGAUAGUUGCAUAAGUGAUCUUUUUAACUUGAAGUCAAUAUCUAGCUUAUAAUACGACUCCUACAUUAUCCUAAUCAAGGAUACACAAUAUGAUGAAUAUUAGGUAUAGCAUGAAUCGUAUGAAGUUAGAUGAGUGAUCAAGAUAGAAUUCAUCACCUAAGUGAUCAGAUGAAUAUCUCAUUAUUCUUGAGAAUGAUCAACUUGAGAAAUUUUCAGCCAAAGAGGAAUAAAGUUUUGAAUAUGUUCAAAGUUCAUUUAAAGAGUUAAUAGUUCCAAGAUUCAAGAAUUAAUAUAGUUGGAUGCAUGUAGAAUAGACAUUAAUCCACACUAUAGCUCCAUCGAGAUGUUGUGAAGAAAAGAAUGAAUCAUGCUUAGAAAUUAUGCAUGGAUAGGUUAGUUAAACUUUCUUGAGUCUUCUUAAUAUUUGGAUGAUUAUAACACAUUGCUAGAUGUAAAUAUUGAUAUAUAAAUAUGUAUUAAAUAAUUAGAAAAUUAAUGUUGAAUAUAAAUGAGUUUGAUUCAUUAAUCCUAUUUAAAAAAGGAUCUCAAUAUUUAUAUUUAUUGCUAACAUUUUAAGAACCUAACAGGUCAUACAUGAUAAGAAAAUUAAGUGAUAAAUUAAAACUCAACUUGGACUUUUUUAAAAAUAAACUGGAUAUUUCCUUUAAUUAAUAACUAAUUAAUAAUCCUCAUUAAUAAUAGACAAUAAAACCUCAAAGCACUCUUCUAUCUAUUAAGAGUUAUCAUCUACCAUUUCCUCAUACUUAGCUAAUGCAUGCGCCAGUCUAUUGCUUGUACGUCUAAUGUGAGUCACUUGGCAUUGAUGAAAAGAUUUGCAUUUACCUGAGCCUCGUCCAAAAUGAUGCCAAUUGGAGCUAAAUCUGUCUCAUCAGCUCUUAAAUGAUUUAUCACACCCAAUGAAUCUUCUUCCAAUAAAAUCUUCAUGAAACCCAUGUCUUUGGCAAAAGUUAGAGCUUUAGUAAUACCCAAAUUUCUACAGUCUAAGGGUCAUUCCUCUUUUGAUCUUUGUAGGUAACACACUUAGAACAAACCCUUCAAAAUCUCUUUAAUAAACCCCACACCUCCUAUUCUAUGCCCUUUAUUGAAAGCCCUAUCAAAAUUAACUUCAACCAUUGAGUUGAGGGGCGGUUGCCAAACUUGAUUAGCAUUAGUCUCAGAAGAUUCUUUUUUUGUGAUUAAGCAUACAAAUACUCAUUCUUGUAAGACAUUACAAAACUGACUAUUUGUUGAGGACUUUCUUUUCUUCCACCAUGUAGUUCAUCAUUCCUUUUGUACUAAAUGGCCCACGUAGCAAUUAGGAACAUAUUAAAUCUUUCCUUUGUCAUCCAUUUUAACUACAUAAUUGCUCAUGUGUUGAGAAAAUUACAAAAAAAAACCUAAAAGGUGAAAAAACGUAGCUAACACUAGGUUUUCAAUUUUGUUUUUCCAUAUCUUAUUUGAAGGGUUUCUCUCUAAUUGUUCAUGUGAAUACCAUUGAAGGCUAGACAAUUAGAUAGCGGAAGGUUUACUACAACCUAGCUAAAAAGUUUCUUCGAUAAUUACUCCUGG
This 3581-nucleotide long non-coding RNA is filed under the name Durio zibethinus. RNAcentral's name for it is "long non-coding RNA (DZIB_LNC001740)". Lineage: Eukaryota; Viridiplantae; Streptophyta; Magnoliopsida; Malvales; Malvaceae. The record is from RNAcentral.